GUCCCGGUGGGGUAGUGGACAUCCUAGAAGAUUGCGGAUCUUUUGACCCGGGUUCAAGUCCCGGCCGGGGCG
This 72-nucleotide transfer RNA is filed under the name Methanoregula sp. Its description in RNAcentral is "tRNA-Arg". It matches the Rfam family "tRNA". Rfam says of the family: Transfer RNA (tRNA) molecules are approximately 80 nucleotides in length. Their secondary structure includes four short double-helical elements and three loops (D, anti-codon, and T loops). Further hydrogen bonds mediate the characteristic L-shaped molecular structure. tRNAs have two regions of fundamental functional importance: the anti-codon, which is responsible for specific mRNA codon recognition, and the 3' end, to which the tRNAs corresponding amino acid is attached (by aminoacyl-tRNA synthetases). tRNAs cope with the degeneracy of the genetic code in two manners: having more than one tRNA (with a specific anti-codon) for a particular amino acid; and 'wobble' base-pairing, i.e. permitting non-standard base-pairing at the 3rd anti-codon position. Lineage: Archaea; Methanobacteriati; Methanobacteriota; Methanomicrobia; Methanomicrobiales; Methanoregulaceae. RNAcentral also lists the same sequence under 1 other name. The record is from RNAcentral.